ACUUACAUUAACUACCCCACUGCCUGA
This 27-nucleotide non-coding RNA is filed under the name Mus musculus (house mouse). Lineage: Eukaryota; Metazoa; Chordata; Mammalia; Rodentia; Muridae. The record is from RNAcentral.